Long non-coding RNA from Oncorhynchus tshawytscha (Chinook salmon), 1676 nucleotides. RefSeq lists it as uncharacterized. The record is from RefSeq and is a predicted model, not a curated record. NCBI's taxonomy places the organism in Eukaryota, Metazoa, Chordata, Actinopteri, Salmoniformes, Salmonidae. The transcript is spliced from 5 exons.
UCAACCAAUAGGAUUUUGCAAAGCCUCCUAAACUGACGGUAACGAUGAAUAACCGGUAGUAUUGAAGAGACAUCUGUGUUGCGCUAUCCCGUUAACAAAAUAGUUUUAAAAUACCCAUCUAAAACGUGCAAACAUCAUGGUUUUCCAUGUAAGGAGAAUAAUACGAAAUGCUCUGAGACCAGGCUGGGUAUACUGUUCCAAAGCACACAGCCAUUGUUUGCAUACAGCUGGUCAUCAUGGCUGGGAUGCCUGGCUGCCUGAGCUGUAGGAACGGCUUUAAGUUGCUUCAUCAAGAUGUCCUGGGGGGCAGUGUGGCCCCGAUGAUGCAAUAUGGAGCCCAGUGGACUCCGCCCCGUGUGGAGCUCGGUCAUGUGCCGAGGACGCCCGUUGGCUCGGUCACGGACAGAGUCGGCUGAGCUCCAUAUGUGGUGUUGGACUCGUAACCUAAAGGUUGUUGGAUCGAAUCAUCUGAGCUGACAAGGUUGGAUGUCUACAGGAAAGUCCCCAAAGACCUGACCCAGCCCACGUACACAGGAGCUGUGGUGUCCAUUAUCUCCUGUCUUCAUGUUGUUUCUCUCUGAGCUGAAGGGAUUCAUAGCCACUGAAAUGUAAGUACAUACACACACCUCCUCUACCUCCACUGACACAUUAAAUACUGAAAGUACCCGAUGAGCCCAUGAUUUCCUGGUUUUAAACCCAGAGACAUUCAGUGGAAGUUAAUAAAACUCUCUAUUGUUCUGGCUCUUGGUCUUCAUCUGGGGUUUUCCCCUAAAACACACAGGAAUACCCCCCACAUCCAGAGGUAUGAACAGACGUCAUUCAUAGCCAAUCAACUGUAAGUACAAUACAGCACCAUAUCUCCUGUCUUAACUACAGGUCUAGGGUCAGGUUACCUUCACUCCGUGUCAUCUGAGAUACAGUCCACACACUCGUCUCCACUCAACUCUGUUGAUGUGAAGUCCAUGGUGGAGUUGUACUCGCCUAUCCCUUAACUAUUACGGUGACGAUAACAUAAUGUCUACUGAUCUGGAGUCAGAUAAAGUAUCAACCCUCCUGAUAUGGAUCCCCAGUAGCUGAUUCCAUGACUACAUCUGACAAUGUUGGUUAGGGACAUCAUCUAUGCUGGACAGAGUAGUGUUGGUUAGGGACAUCAUCUAUGCUGGACAGAUUAGUGUUGGUUAGGGACAUCAUCUAUGCUGGACAGAUUAGUGUUGGUUAGGGACAUCAUCUAUGCUGGACAGAGUAGUGUUGGUUAGGGACAUCAUCUAUGCUGGACAGAGUAGUGUUGGUUAGGGACAUCAUCUAUGCUGGACAGAGUAGUGUUGGUUAGGGACAUCAUCUAUGCUGGACAGAGUAGUGUUGGUUAGGGACAUCAUCUAUGCUGGACAGAUUAGUGUUGGUUAGGGACAUCAUCUAUGCUGGACAGAUUAGUGUUGGUUAGGGACAUCAUCUAUGCUGGACAGAUUAGUGUUGGUUAGGGACAUCAUCUAUGCUGGACAGAGUAGUGUUGGUUAGGGACAUCAUCUAUGCUGGACAGAUUAGUGUUGGUUAGGGACAUCAUCUAUGCUGGACAGAUUAGUGUUGGUUAGGGACAUCAUCUAUGCUGGACAGAGUAGUGUUGGUUAGGGACAUCAUCUAUGCUGGACAGAUUAGUGUUGGUUAGGGACAUCAUCUAU